AAAUUGAAGAGUUUGAUCAUGGCUCAGAUUGAACGCUGGCGGCAGGCCUAACACAUGCAAGUCGAACGGUAACAGAAAGAAGCUUGCUUCUUUGCUGACGAGUGGCGGACGGGUGAGUAAUGUCUGGGAAACUGCCUGAUGGAGGGGGAUAACUACUGGAAACGGUAGCUAAUACCGCAUAACGUCGCAAGACCAAAGAGGGGGACCUUCGGGCCUCUUG
RNAcentral lists this ribosomal RNA (220 nucleotides) under Escherichia coli. Its description in RNAcentral is "partial 16S ribosomal RNA". It matches the Rfam family "Bacterial small subunit ribosomal RNA", at positions 1 to 217 of the family's 1533-position model. The record is from RNAcentral. Lineage: Bacteria; Pseudomonadati; Pseudomonadota; Gammaproteobacteria; Enterobacterales; Enterobacteriaceae.